ACAAAGCUCAAAAUCUUAAUUCCAUACAUAUACAUAUACAUGUAAAUCAAUUUAAGGAAAAAGAGACCACAAGGCCAAAACAAUAGUAGCAUUUUAACUUUCAAAAUGCAUAAUCAAUAAUAUAGCUUUCAAAAACCCCAUAAAAUACAUGCUUUAACAAUUUCAAGCCCAUGUAGUUUUUAGGAUAAACCCCGCAUACCUCUAUUUCAGAAAAUAAUGGAUGAUCGUUGAAGCUUGCGGACUGGGGAUUCUGAAUCUCUAAUUAUCUUUUAAAAUUCACGGUUGAAUCUUAAGUAAUUUGUGUUUUUAUUUGGAAACCUUUAGGAGUGUUCUUGAGCAAAUUUGAUGAAUGAGACUCUAUUUUGGCUUUCUAGGGAUUAAAUCCCGUGUUAUUGAGGAUAAGAGGUUGGAGAAAUACCAAAAUACCCUUAAAUUCUUGGAGAAAACUGAAAAUUUGGCCUGGGGCGAUUAGUCAGGCGUCGCCCGCCCUGUAGCACCUAACUGAUUUUUAUUAAUCACCAAGUAAAAUAGUAUAUAAUUUAAAUUAAUUAGCCAAGCAUAACUUAGAUUUUAAAAAAAAUUAUACUGAAAAGUUAUUUUAUAAAAGUGAUUCUCAAGUAAGCAAGUUUCUCAUAGAUUUUUCUUUAAAAAAAAAUUAAAUUUCUGUGUUUGUUUUGUCAAUUGGUAAUUUAAAAAAAAAAUUGUGUUUAUUUUGUCAAUUGGCAAUUUCUGGUUAUUCAAUUUGUAUUGUUAUACUGUAAUUUUGUGGUUAUAUUGGAACAUACCAAGUUAAAUGAUUUAAAAUUUAAAAUAGAAUAACAAAUAUCUACUUUUUAAGAAAGGAUAAAAAAAAAACCAAAAAAACUACUCAUUUCUCUCCACCAAGUAUUCACGGUUUUUCAUAUUUAUGUUUGAAAUUCUUUUUUUUUUUUUUUUGGCCAUUUAUUUUUAAAUUAUUUUUUUGACAACCGAAUUUCUAAAGUUCCUAAUUUCAUGGUAGUUAGGAAGUUCCUAAUUUUGUAAAGUUUCUAAUCAUUUGGGAAAUUAUGUUGGUUUGCAAUUUUUUUUUCCUUUAGCAUGUUAGUUUUGCUAUUUGUAAUUAUUUUUUUUAAUUUAUUAUUUGUCCCUUUGUCUUUUACAUAGAUUUAAAAAAUAAGAUCAAAAUGUUAGUUAUCUAUUAGUAGACUAAUAAAAUAUGGAAAAUUAAAUAGCUAGAGAAAAUUUAAAUAUAAAUAAAAAGAAAUAUAAAAGGCAUUUUAUGUUUACCGAAAUGGUCUUAGGAAUAUUUCGUUGAAAUAAAUAAACUACCGUGCUUAUUAUUGAUUUUUUCAAAUAUUUUCGAUUACUGAUGAAGCUUCACUUUUUUUUAUAUAUAUCAACAUGAUAACUUUAUUUUACACUAAAAUAAGAUUAUCAAAGACACAAAAUAUAAAAAAAAUUAUUUAUUUAUUGUAAAUUUGGCAUACCAUUUAUGAGGUGAGAGUAGGCAGGGAAAGCACAAUAAAGACAAAAAUAGAUGCUAUGCUCCCGUCAAAACUCGUCAGGGAAAAAAUCAUAACUGUUAUAUUAAUAUGAAUAACAAGUAAUUGAAAUGGAAGCUCGCUUCAGGAAUUUUAUGCGAUAAGAAGGUGCUCCUUAAGUUGAAAGGUAAAUUUUAUAGACUUGCAGUCUGGUCGGCUAUGUUAUAUGGAGUGGAGUGUUGGCCGGUUAAGAAUUCUCAUAUCCAGAAGCUAAAGGUGCAUGGCGGAAAUGAGGAUGUUGCAUUGGAUGUGUGGAUUUACUAGGGCUGACAGGGUUAGGAAUGAGAUUACUCGGGAGAAGGUGGACGUGGUGUCGAUGGAGGAUAAAAUGCGGGAAGUGAGGUUGAGAUGGUUUGGUCACGGAUGGCCCAGUUCGUAGGUGUGAGAAGUUGGCCUUGGAUAAUUUCAAACGGGGUAGGAAUAGAUCGAAGAGAUACUGGAGGAAAGUGAUUAAACGUGACUUGGAGCGAUUACGCUCAGCAUUCCAAAGCUUUAGGGACUCAAUUUUGACAUUUACAGAUCACACAAAACAAGCAGUAUGAUGAGUGGAGAAACCCGUGGAUGCAUGAUGUAUGUAAAACAAAAAGACUGAUUUUUUCUCGCCUAAUUACAACUUGGUUUUUUAGGACUUUUCACUUUUUGGUGCACCGUUCAUGUCAUGUCGACACAAAGUGUAGGUGUGAGGUCUGUCUAUAUUGGAUUUGAUCAACUGAUAUUAUGCAAUCUACAUAAGCCAUUAUUAAAUAAUUCUUCAAUAUUCUUGUGCAAGUGAAGGAAUAUUCAUGUGAUGCGUGUGAUUGAUACUCCAGGCCUAUAACAAGAAGAUCUAAAGACAUACUUUUUCUAAAUUUUAUUCUCACUCAUGUUGGUACUAUAUUAGGUUAUCAAGAGUGUUUAUUACAUAUUCUUAUGAGAAAAAUCACUUUGUCAAAAGUGUAUAAGUGUUGAUUACAUUGGGUAUGUUGUUGUCGUUUAUAUAUUUUACUAAAAUUCAUUAAUUUAGAUAUCAUUACUUUUAUUAAUAAACUAGUAUGUGUUCCCACGUGAUGCGCAAAAAGUGUUGGGGAGAAAAAUUCUAAAUAUUGUUAUCUUAUAAUUUGACACAUUGAAUUUUUUAUUAUUUUAUUGAUUGUAAAAUUUAAAAUAUUUGAUUCA
This is a long non-coding RNA of Capsicum annuum, 2675 nucleotides long. RefSeq lists it as uncharacterized. The record is from RefSeq and is a predicted model, not a curated record. The transcript has 3 exons. NCBI's taxonomy places the organism in Eukaryota, Viridiplantae, Streptophyta, Magnoliopsida, Solanales, Solanaceae.